ACGCUCGACACCUACGGGAGGCGGCAGUGGGGAAUAUUGCACAAUGGGGGAAACCCUGAUGCAGCAACGCCGCGUGAAGGAAGACGGUUUUCGGAUUGUAAACUUCUGUUCUUAGUGAAGAUAGUGACGGUAGCUAAGGAGCAAGCCACGGCUAACUACGUGCUAGCAGCCGCGGUAAUCUGAGCGGGCUGGCAAGGC
Molecule: ribosomal RNA, 198 nt
Filed under: uncultured bacterium
Lineage: Bacteria
Description: partial 16S ribosomal RNA
Rfam family: Bacterial small subunit ribosomal RNA
Source: RNAcentral